This 74-nucleotide transfer RNA is filed under the name Scardovia wiggsiae. Its description in RNAcentral is "tRNA-Lys". It matches the Rfam family "tRNA". From Rfam's summary of the family: Transfer RNA (tRNA) molecules are approximately 80 nucleotides in length. Their secondary structure includes four short double-helical elements and three loops (D, anti-codon, and T loops). Further hydrogen bonds mediate the characteristic L-shaped molecular structure. tRNAs have two regions of fundamental functional importance: the anti-codon, which is responsible for specific mRNA codon recognition, and the 3' end, to which the tRNAs corresponding amino acid is attached (by aminoacyl-tRNA synthetases). tRNAs cope with the degeneracy of the genetic code in two manners: having more than one tRNA (with a specific anti-codon) for a particular amino acid; and 'wobble' base-pairing, i.e. permitting non-standard base-pairing at the 3rd anti-codon position. Lineage: Bacteria; Bacillati; Actinomycetota; Actinomycetes; Bifidobacteriales; Bifidobacteriaceae. RNAcentral also lists the same sequence under 3 other names. The record is from RNAcentral.
GCCCCCGUAGCUCAGUUGGUUAGAGCAGCGUCCUUUUAAGUCGUGGGUCCAGAGUUCGAGUCUCUGUGGGGGCA